This 110-nucleotide microRNA precursor is filed under the name Haemonchus contortus (barber pole worm). RNAcentral describes it as "microRNA hco-mir-5903 precursor". The record is from miRBase by way of RNAcentral. Lineage: Eukaryota; Metazoa; Nematoda; Chromadorea; Rhabditida; Trichostrongylidae.
AUUCAAUAAAACACAGAGAGUGCGACACCGUUCAGAUGUUUUUGUCUCCAGUACAAUGUGAUUGUACCGGGAUAUGGAACGUCUGAAUGGGGUCGUACGUUACCCAGACG